Molecule: ribosomal RNA, 905 nt
Filed under: Xyalidae sp. VP-2019
Lineage: Eukaryota; Metazoa; Nematoda; Chromadorea; Monhysterida; Xyalidae
Also listed under: 1 other name
Description: SSU rRNA
Rfam family: Eukaryotic small subunit ribosomal RNA
Source: RNAcentral
CAUUACAACAGCCGUCGUUUCUUAGACCGAAAUACUUGGAUAACUGUGGUAAUUCUAGAGCUAAUACACGCAAUCGAGCUCCGCCCGUAAGGAACGAGCGCAUUUAUUAGAACCAAAAACCCAUCUGCACUUGUGCAGCCCGGUUGGUGACUCUGAAUAACUCAGCAGAUCGCUUCGGUCUCGUACCGGCGACAUAUCUUUCAAGUGUCUGCCUUAUCAACUUUCGAUGGUAGUUUAUGUGACUACCAUGGUUGUAACGGGUAACGGAGAAUUAGGGUUCGACUCCGGAGAGGGAGCCUGAGAAACGGCUACCACUUCUAAGGAAGGCAGCAGGCGCGCAAAUUACCCACUCUCAGUACGAGGAGGUAGUGACGAAAAAUAACGAGACGGGUCUCUAUCGAGAACCGUCAUCGGAAUGAGAACAAUCUAAACCCUUUAACGAGGACCUAGCGGAGGGCAAGUCUGGUGCCAGCAGCCGCGGUAAUUCCAGCUCCGCCAGUGUAUAUCUAUGCUGCUGCGGUUAAAAAGCUCGUAGUUGGAUCAGCGUGCAUGGUGAUGGUCCGCCCUAGUGGUGUGAACUGUCUACCUGCACUUAAUAGCUAGUUCACUCUUGGUGACCUUAACCGGUUGUCUUGAGCGUCUAGCAACUUUACUUUGAAAAAAUUAGAGUGCUUAAAACAAGCGUUUUGCUUGAAUACUGGUGCAUGGAAUAAUAGAAUAGGACCUUGGUUCUAUUUUGUUGGUUUUCGGGACACGAGGUAAUGAUUAAGAGGGACAGCCGGGGGCAUUCGUAUUGCGACGCUAGAGGUGAAAUUCUUGGAUCGUCGCAAGACGGACUACUGCGAAAGCAUUUGUCAAGAGUGUUUUCAUUAAUCAAGAACGAAAGUUAGAGGUUCGAAGGCGAU